GAUGAAGAACGCAGCGAAAUGCGAUACGUAAUGUGAAUUGCAGAAUUCAGUGAAUCAUCGAAUCUUUGAACGCAUAUUGCGCUCUCUGGUAUUCCGGAGAGCAUGCUUGUUUGAGUAUCAGUAAACACCUCAACUCCCUUUUCUUUUUUGAAAUUGGAGCUGGACUUGAGUGAUCCCAACGCUUUCUUCCAAGAAAGUGGCGGGUUGCUUGAAAUGCAGGUGCAGCUGAACUUUUCUCUGAGCUAUAAGCAUAUCUAUUUAGUCUGCCUAAAAAACAGAUUAUUACCUUUGCUGCAGCUAACAUAAAGGAGACUAGUUCUUGUGCUGACUGAUGCAGGAUUCACAGAGACAGCUUCGGCUGACUUUGUAAACUCGAUCUCAAAUCAAGUAAGACUACCCGCUGAACUUAAGCAUUCAAUAAGCGGAGGA
Molecule: unclassified non-coding RNA, 429 nt
Filed under: soil metagenome
Description: partial contains 5.8S ribosomal RNA, internal transcribed spacer 2, and large subunit ribosomal RNA
Rfam family: 5.8S ribosomal RNA (bases 1-120)
Source: RNAcentral